UGGGUGAAGGUUGGGGCUGACAGUGACUGGAGGGGCUGUGGUGAGUGACUCCCGGGGGCGGCUGGGUGAAGGUUGGGGCUGGCAGUGACUGGAGGGGCUGUGGUGAGUGACUCCCGGGGGCGGCUGGGUGAAGGUUGGGGCUGGCAGUGACUGGAGGGGCUGUGGUGAGUGACUCCUGGGGGCGGCUGGGUGAAGGUUGGGGCUGGCAGUGACUGGAGGGGCUGUGGUGAGUGACUCCGGGGGGCGGCUGGGUGUAGGUUGGGGCUGGCAGUGACCGGAGGGGCUGUGGUGAGUGACUCCCGGGGGCGGCUGGGUGAAGGUUGGGGCUGGCAGUGACUGGAGGGGCUGUGGUGAGUGACUCCCGGGGGCGGCUGGGUGUAGGUUGGGGCUGGCGGUGACUGGAGGGGCUGUGGUGAGUGACUCCCGGGGGCGGCUGGGUGAAGGUUGGGGCUGGCGGUGACUGGAGGGGCUGUGGUGAGUGACUCCCGGGG
Molecule: long non-coding RNA, 491 nt
Organism: Gopherus flavomarginatus (Mexican gopher tortoise)
Lineage: Eukaryota; Metazoa; Chordata; Testudines; Testudinidae
Exons: 4
Source: RefSeq, a predicted model, not a curated record